AGAAAAUCCAAGAGUACCCAGACCAGGGCUCCAAGCAGAGUGUCCUGCUGAAAGCAGACGAUAAUGCCUCUCUCAUCUCAGAUCAAGGUUUAAGCGGACCAGAAGACAAUGGAUGGGACAUUUGCUUCAGUGGUAACCUGCAUAUCAUCUUGCCCUUGAGGAGCAAGUGAGGAGAAGCAGCAAGGCCAGCCACUCUGGAAACACUGCUGGAUGCUGACUAUGCCAGGUCUCCCGCAAUACCCAAAUAAGAGAUGUGGCUGCUGGGUUCACCUGUCCUACACUGCAAGCUUCAAGAGGGAUAUGAUGAGGCCGGGUACAGUGGCUCACAACUGUAAUCCCAGCAGUUUGGGAGGCUGAGGGAGGAGGAUUGCUUGAGUCCAGGAGUUCAAGAUCAGCCUAGGCAACAUAGUAAGACCCCAAGUCUACAAAAACAUAAAACUGAAAAAUUAGCCCGGUGGUAGUGCACAGCUGUAGUCCCAGUUACUCAGGAGGUACUGAGGUGGGAAGAUCAGCUGAGCCCAGGAGGUCAAGGAUAAGGCUGCAGUGAGCCACGAUCACACCACUGCACUCCAGCUUGGGUGACAGAGUAAGACACUGUCCCAAAGAAAAAAAAAAAGAGGGAAAGGACUAUGCAUCCUCAGUGCUAGCACACUACCUGACACCUGACACAGAGUAAGCACCAAUGAGUAUUUUUAAACAAAGCGUGUGUGUAGGUAGGGACAGGGCUGGGGUUGGAGAGAAGGGUGUCAACAGAUUUGAUCCUGGGUAGACCUUGCCCAGACACCAAAAUGUUAACCAGAUUAGGUGGGUUCAUUCUGACAAUACCUGAGUGAGCUUAUUUGACUCAAUAGUUUAGAAAGCAGGCAAAUUAACC
This 874-nucleotide long non-coding RNA is filed under the name Homo sapiens (human). Its description in RNAcentral is "HSALNT0201771". The record is from RNAcentral. Lineage: Eukaryota; Metazoa; Chordata; Mammalia; Primates; Hominidae.